Molecule: long non-coding RNA, 1143 nt
Organism: Gorilla gorilla gorilla (western lowland gorilla)
Lineage: Eukaryota; Metazoa; Chordata; Mammalia; Primates; Hominidae
Exons: 7
Source: RefSeq, a predicted model, not a curated record
GACAGAAGUAACAUUGGUCUCAGUCAGGUCCUGAAGGCACCAGUAGGUGCCUUCCUACUUAUAGGAAUCCAUAAGCGGGAUUCCUAUAGUACCUCUCUCCACUCCCUCAGUCUUCACCUAUGACUUCAUGGGGAGUUCUUUAUGAUCAGUUGACUGAGGAAGAAAAAGCUCCGACAAAGUUUACGAAUGGAUCUGCACAGGGUGCUGCACCAACUAGAUGAAGAGUGCUACACAUUAUACGGAACAUAAUGGGGAGGGAAAUUCUCCCUCUGAGCAAUACUUUAAAAAAGACCACUGGUUGUUCAUUUUGCCUGGAAAGAAAGAUGUUUACAGUGAACUAGGAAGCAGCAGCAGCAGCUAAAGGUGAAUGAAGAAGGAGGCGUGGGAGAGUUAAAGAGAGAGGAGAAAGCAUGAAACAGUCAUCUAAGAGUUCUUUUCUUCCUGUAUGAGGACUGAAAGGUGAAGAACUAUGUUCUCCAACCCCCAUGAUGGUGUGGUCCCAUAGGUGACCUGACCUGCUGAGCAGAUACCUGUGCUCUCGCUGCUGCUGCUACCGGAUCUCAGGCAGAUGAAGCAAACUUUUGUCCUUUUCCAUCUGGAGCUCUUAAAGUGGUGAGAUCAUCAAAAGGAUUGACUGAAGCAGCAAGCAGAAAAGCACCUUCAUUCACCAGAUGCAACUGUGGCUGCCACCAUCUAAACCCACCGCCUCCUCAUAGCAAGCUGAGUCAUAGCCCAGCCUUCUCAUCUCCAACCCCCCGGGCCAACUCAUGCAGGUGGUGUUUUCUACCAUGACUGAGGAAUGUCCCCAAAGCAGGGCAGGCCUCAUCUCAACUCGUAGAAGGCAUACUGAGUCCUCUCCUCCCCUCUCCCCCAGAAGCCAGUUCAUCAGGUUCAUCAGGGUGUGCCAUCUACAGUUCUUCCAGAACCUAUUCGCCUCUCAUCUUUUCUGCCAUCAUCCUAAUCCAGACCACCAUCAUCUCUAAGGUCCUUUGCACCAGCCAUUCCUUCUACCUGGAACAUGACUGCCCUGACCACCACAUACGAGCUCACUACCUCAAAGAAGAUUCCUUCAUCACUGCCCCAUCAAAGAAGACGGUCUUUAUUUUCUUCAUACCAUUAAUCGAUAUCAGGAAUUCCAUUGCU